AACGAACGCUGGCGGCGCGCCUAAUACAUGCAAGUCGAGCGAGAAGACGUAGCAAUACGUUUGUAAAGCGGCGAACGGGUGAGGAAUACAUGGGUAACCUACCCUAGAGUGGGGAAUAACUAGCCGAAAGGUUAGCUAAUACCGCGUACGCUCCUUGGACUUCGGUUCAGGGAGGAAAGCGAUACCGAGGGUAUCGCGCUCUUGGAUGGGCUCAUGUCCUAUCAGCUUGUUGGNGAGGUAACGGCUCACCAAGGCUUCGACGGGUAGCUGGUCUGAGAGGACGAUCAGCCACACUGGCACUGCGACACGGGCCAGACUCCUACGGGAGGCAGCAGUAAGGAAUAUUGCGCAAUGGGCGAAAGCCUGACGCAGCGACGCCGCGUGGGGGAUGAAGGUCUUCGGAUUGUAAACCCCUUUCGGGAGGGAAGAUGGAACGAGCAAUCGUUCGGACGGUACCUCCAGAAGCAGCCACGGCUAACUUCGUGCCAGCAGCCGCU
This 497-nucleotide ribosomal RNA is filed under the name uncultured bacterium. RNAcentral describes it as "bacterial SSU rRNA". It matches the Rfam family "Bacterial small subunit ribosomal RNA", at positions 29 to 519 of the family's 1533-position model. The record is from RNAcentral.